RNAcentral lists this ribosomal RNA (225 nucleotides) under uncultured Desulfosporosinus sp. RNAcentral describes it as "partial 16S ribosomal RNA". It matches the Rfam family "Bacterial small subunit ribosomal RNA", at positions 568 to 792 of the family's 1533-position model. The record is from RNAcentral. Lineage: Bacteria; Bacillati; Bacillota; Clostridia; Eubacteriales; Desulfitobacteriaceae.
CGCGUAGGCGGCCUUGUAAGUUGGGGGUGAAAGAUCAGGGCUCAACCCUGAGAGUGCAUCGGAAACUGGGCAUCUUGAGGACAGGAGAGGAAAGUGGAAUUCCUAGUGUAGCGGUGAAAUGCGUAGAUAUUAGGAGGAACACCAGUGGCGAAGGCGACUUUCUGGACUGUAACUGACGCUGAGGCGCGAAAGCGUGGGGAGCAAACAGGAUUAGAUACCCCCGUA